This 377-nucleotide ribosomal RNA is filed under the name uncultured beta proteobacterium. RNAcentral's name for it is "bacterial SSU rRNA". It matches the Rfam family "Bacterial small subunit ribosomal RNA", at positions 114 to 507 of the family's 1533-position model. The record is from RNAcentral. Lineage: Bacteria; Pseudomonadati; Pseudomonadota; Betaproteobacteria.
UGCAUCGGAACGUAUCCUGUAAUGGGGGAUAACGUAGCGAAAGUUACGCUAAUACCGCAUACGCUCGAGAGAGGAAAGUGGGGGAUCGCAAGACCUCACGUUAUAGGAGCGGCCGAUGUCCGAUUAGCUAGUUGGUGGGGUAAAGGCCUACCAAGGCGACGAUCGGUAGCUGGUCUGAGAGGAUGAUCAGCCACACUGGGACUGAGACACGGCCCAGACUCCUACGGGAGGCAGCAGUGGGGAAUAUUGCACAAUGGGCGAAAGCCUGAUGCAGCGACGCCGCGUGAGGGAUGACGGCCUUCGGGUUGUAAACCUCUUUCAGCAGGGACGAAGCGCAAGUGACGGUACCUGCAGAAGAAGCACCGGCUAACUACGUG